GACAGAGGGUGCAAGCGUUGUUCGGAAUCAUUGGGCGUAAAGCGCACGUAGGCGGCUUGGCGCGUCGGAUGUGAAAGCCCAGGGCUCAACCUUGGAAGUGCAUCCGAAACGGCUUGGCUUGAGUCCCGGAGAGGGUGGUGGAAUUCCCAGUGUAGAGGUGAAAUUCGUAGAUAUUGGGAGGAACACCGGUGGCGUGGGCGACCACCUGGACGGUGACUGACGCUGAGGUGCGAAAGCGUGGGGAGCAAACAGG
This 253-nucleotide unclassified non-coding RNA is filed under the name uncultured Myxococcales bacterium. Its description in RNAcentral is "contains 16S-23S intergenic spacer region". It matches the Rfam family "Bacterial small subunit ribosomal RNA", at positions 524 to 776 of the family's 1533-position model. The record is from RNAcentral. Lineage: Bacteria; Pseudomonadati; Myxococcota; Myxococcia; Myxococcales.